RNAcentral lists this ribosomal RNA (253 nucleotides) under uncultured bacterium. RNAcentral describes it as "partial 16S ribosomal RNA". It matches the Rfam family "Bacterial small subunit ribosomal RNA", at positions 524 to 776 of the family's 1533-position model. The record is from RNAcentral.
UACGUAGGGUGCAAGCGUUGUCCGGAAUUAUUGGGCGUAAAGAGCUUGUAGGCGGUUUGUCGCGUCUGCUGUGAAAUUUCGGGGCUCAACCCCGAACUUGCAGUGGGUACGGGCAGACUAGAGUGUGGUAGGGGAGACUGGAAUUCCUGGUGUAGCGGUGAAAUGCGCAGAUAUCAGGAGGAACACCGGUGGCGAAGGCGGGAUCCUGGGCCAGUACUGACGCUGAGGAGCGAAAGCGUGGGGAGCAAACAGG